This 273-nucleotide long non-coding RNA is filed under the name Gossypium barbadense (sea-island cotton). RNAcentral's name for it is "long non-coding RNA (GBAR_LNC020919)". The record is from RNAcentral. Lineage: Eukaryota; Viridiplantae; Streptophyta; Magnoliopsida; Malvales; Malvaceae.
GAUGAUUAAAGGUCCGUUUUUGAUAUUUUUAGGGCCCUAGAUAAAAUAAUAAAAUAAAGUUUUAAGUUUCUUAAAAGUUGGAGAAAUUUUUUUUAAAUCCCUUAAAAGUUGGUAAAAAAAAUUUUGGGCCCUUAAAAGCUUUUUUUUGAGCCCUUUAAAAGUUGGUUAAUUUUUGUUUCUUUUAAAAGUUAAAAAAAAUAUUUUUGAGCCCAUUAAAAAUUAAAAAACAAUAUUUUGAACCCCUUUCAGCCUUGGACCCUAAGCAAUCGCACC